GUCUAUGGCCAUACCACCCUGAAUGCACCAGAUCUUGUCUGAUCUCAGAAGCUAAGCAGAGUUGGGCCUGGUUGAUAAGUUCAUGGGAGAAUCAAAUGAACUUUGGCUACCUUACUUG
This 118-nucleotide ribosomal RNA is filed under the name Propithecus coquereli (Coquerel's sifaka). The record is from RNAcentral. Lineage: Eukaryota; Metazoa; Chordata; Mammalia; Primates; Indriidae.